AGUGAACGCUGGCGGUAGGCCUAACACAUGCAAGUCGAACGGCAGCACAGUAAGAGCUUGCUCUUACGGGUGGCGAGUGGCGGACGGGUGAGGAAUACAUCGGAAUCUACUUUUUCGUGGGGGAUAACGUAGGGAAACUUACGCUAAUACCGCAUACGACCUACGGGUGAAAGCAGGGGAUCUUCGGACCUUGCGCGAUUGAAUGAGCCGAUGUCGGAUUAGCUAGUUGGCGGGGUAAAGGCCCACCAAGGCGACGAUCCGUAGCUGGUCUGAGAGGAUGAUCAGCCACACUGGAACUGAGACACGGUACAGACUCCUACGGGAGGCAGCAGUGGGGAAUAUUGGACAAUGGGCGCAAGCCUGAUCCAGCCAUACCGCGUGGGUGAAGAAGGCCUUCGGGUUGUAAAGGCCUGUUGUUGGGAAAGAAAAGCAGCAGGUUAAUACCCCGCUGUUCUGACGGUACCCAAAGAAUAAGCACCGGCUAACUUCGUG
Molecule: ribosomal RNA, 492 nt
Filed under: uncultured bacterium
Lineage: Bacteria
Description: partial 16S ribosomal RNA
Rfam family: Bacterial small subunit ribosomal RNA
Source: RNAcentral